This 249-nucleotide ribosomal RNA is filed under the name uncultured organism. RNAcentral describes it as "partial 16S ribosomal RNA". It matches the Rfam family "Bacterial small subunit ribosomal RNA", at positions 355 to 620 of the family's 1533-position model. The record is from RNAcentral.
UAGGGAAUCUUCCACAAUGGACGAAAGUCUGAUGGAGCAACGCCGCGUGAAGGAAGAAGGCCUUCGGGUUGUAAACUUCUUUAGUCGGGGACGAAACAUGACGGUACCCGAAGAAUAAGCCCCGGCUAACUCCGUGCCAGCAGCCGCGGUAAUACGGGGGGGACAAGCGUUGUUCGGAAUUACUGGGCGUAAAGCGCGCGUAGGCGGCUUUUCAAGUCGGGCGUGAAAUCUCCGGGCUUAACCCGGAAG